Pelobates cultripes (western spadefoot toad) is the source of this 451-nucleotide non-coding RNA. The record is from the annotation of a GenBank genome assembly. NCBI's taxonomy places the organism in Eukaryota, Metazoa, Chordata, Amphibia, Anura, Pelobatidae.
GUUAAUACUUAAUAUACACUUUUUUAUUGGACUAACAUAAAAGUGAAUGAACAUUAUUCGAGGGAUCUUUAGAAAACAAACAAAUAAAAAGUGAGAUUUCUUCAAGGCGAUACCAAAUACCCUGACAGUGAACUGGGUGUACUCUACCUUGGUACAGAGUCUUCACGUCCCCUUCAGGCACUAAAUGUGCCUUAAAUAAGACGAUUGUUGGCCACAAAUACAGUACAGCUCCAAGAACAGUUUGAGAUGUGGCUGAACAUCUCUGUAGAUUUCUUUUUUGGAAUCCAAGUGGUAAAUAAUGAUUUUCAAGCUCUGUCUUUGGCAUCAGCACAGUUACGCACUUAAGAUUUUUCUUUACUUAUUCUUGUUUCCAGGAACAUGAUGCCACCAUAGUUUAAUGCUUUUCAAGAUUAUAUUAGCAUUACGAAUGUUAACAGGAUAAAAUUCUUGG